Molecule: long non-coding RNA, 99 nt
Organism: Phyllostomus discolor (pale spear-nosed bat)
Lineage: Eukaryota; Metazoa; Chordata; Mammalia; Chiroptera; Phyllostomidae
Exons: 3
Source: RefSeq, a predicted model, not a curated record
GUUUGAAGGAGAGCAGUGACAAGGGAGAAGUAAGCAAGCAGCUAUGUAGUAUAUAGAGAGGAAGGAGGCCACGUGGCCUGGACUGAUAAGGGAGGAAGA